RNAcentral lists this non-coding RNA (22 nucleotides) under Arabidopsis thaliana (thale cress). Lineage: Eukaryota; Viridiplantae; Streptophyta; Magnoliopsida; Brassicales; Brassicaceae. The record is from RNAcentral.
GACGAAGUGCUUGGAAACUGUG